UGAGUAACGCGUGGGUAACCUGCCUCAUACAGGGGAUAACAGUUAGAAAUGACUGACUAACACCGCAUAAUAUAGCGAAACCGUCAUGAUUUUGCUAUCAAAUAUUUAUAGGUAUGAGAUGGGCCCGCGUCUGAUUAGCUAGUUGGUGGGGUAAAAGCCUACCAAGGCGACGAUCAGUAGCCGGCUUGAGAGAGUGACCGGCCACAUUGGGACUGAGACACGGCCCAAACUCCUACGGGAGGCAGCGAGUGGGGAAUAUUGGACAAUGGGGGAAACCCUGAUCCAGCGACGCCCGCGUGAGUGAAGUAAGUAUUUCGGUAUGUAAAGCUCUAUCAGCAGGGAAGAUAAUGACAGUACCUGACUAAGAAGCCCCGGCUAACUACGUGCCAGCAGCAGC
RNAcentral lists this ribosomal RNA (397 nucleotides) under uncultured bacterium. Its description in RNAcentral is "bacterial SSU rRNA". It matches the Rfam family "Bacterial small subunit ribosomal RNA", at positions 107 to 518 of the family's 1533-position model. The record is from RNAcentral.